This 467-nucleotide ribosomal RNA is filed under the name uncultured bacterium. RNAcentral describes it as "partial 16S ribosomal RNA". It matches the Rfam family "Bacterial small subunit ribosomal RNA", at positions 28 to 508 of the family's 1533-position model. The record is from RNAcentral.
GACGAACGCUGGCGGCGCGCCUAACACAUGCAAGUCGAACGAGCGAGAGAGAGCUUGCUUUCUUGAGCGAGUGGCGAACGGGUGAGUAACGCGUGAGGAACCUGCCUCAAAGAGGGGGACAACAGUUGGAAACGACUGCUAAUACCGCAUAAGCCCACGACCCGGCAUCGGGUUGAGGGAAAAGGAGCAAUCCGCUUUGAGAUGGCCUCGCGUCCGAUUAGCUAGUUGGUGAGGUAACGGCCCACCAAGGCGACGAUCGGUAGCCGGACUGAGAGGUUGAACGGCCACAUUGGGACUGAGACACGGCCCAGACUCCUACGGGAGGCAGCAGUGGGGAAUAUUGCACAAUGGGGGAAACCCUGAUGCAGCGACGCCGCGUGGAGGAAGAAGGUCUUCGGAUUGUAAACUCCUGUUGUUGAGGAAGAUAAUGACGGUACUCAACAAGGAAGUGACGGCUAACUACGUGC